RNAcentral lists this small RNA (840 nucleotides) under Pongo abelii (Sumatran orangutan). Its description in RNAcentral is "sense overlapping". Lineage: Eukaryota; Metazoa; Chordata; Mammalia; Primates; Hominidae. The record is from RNAcentral.
CGCUCCCUCCCUCCCCAUCCCACCCCCCUCCUUCCCCUCAAUCCAGCCCUCAUGACCCUGACCCUGGCCGCGGCUGCAGGCGGCUCGCCCAGGCGCGCAGCCCUCGGUCCCACCUCCCUCUGGCUCGGGCCUGAGCAUUCCGCAGUCUCGGUCGGCCCGGGCCUCUUCUCUGCUGCUCUGCUCCCCCAAGGGCUUUCUGUGCCCCACUCCUGCCCAGGUAGGGCUGCCUUGUCUUGGGUCCUUUACGGGGGACCAUUCCUCAGCGUCCCUGAGACACUCAUCCUGGGAUUUCUUCCCCUAAAUACAGACAUUCUCAAACCAAAUGAGACCUCGAUGAGGUCCCUACACCUGAUCCCGCCUCCCACUCCCUGAGCCACACUGAGAAGGAAGGUCUCUCCUUUUGGGAGGACUCUGGCGCCUGCAACCUUGAUCGACAGCAAAGAUGUCCAGUGUGUAUCCUGCAUCUGCCUUUCCUGACCAUUCGUCGUGUCCCAUUCUCCGUGGGAUAGAUUCUCAUGGGGAGUGGGGGAGCCUUCGGGUGUGGCAGAACGGCAUGAUGGAAUUCAUAAGGUGAGCAGAAACUCAAGGAAAACUGUCCAAAUACCGGCUCGACUCCUGGGUACGCUGAAGCAAGGAUGAAGAAGCUCUGGGACUUUGCACGUCAGUAACCACCAACACCAUGCCUCUGGUUCCCACACCGCAGGGAUCACCUGAAGUAGAGGAUCUCAUGUAACUUCAUGGCUCUCUCUGUACUUCUGUUUCUUUAUCUGUAAGAUGGGGAUCAGAAACUCUGUCUUAAGGAGUUGUUUUGAGGAUUAAAUGAGGAAACAUGAAAAGCAA